Molecule: long non-coding RNA, 2112 nt
Organism: Artibeus jamaicensis (Jamaican fruit-eating bat)
Lineage: Eukaryota; Metazoa; Chordata; Mammalia; Chiroptera; Phyllostomidae
Exons: 3
Source: RefSeq, a predicted model, not a curated record
CCCCCGGAAGGUGGGCCGCUAGCCGCUGGCUGCUGGCAGGCGACCGCCCGGUCAAGGCCAUGCCAUUGUACUUGGUGGUGGCACUCGUCCGGUCUUACCGAAGAGAAGCAAAAGAGAAAUCAAGCUUCAGCCAGUCUGGGCCGGUGUUGAAGGCGGGUAGAGAUCUUUCUCACCAGCCAUCCUGUCCAACAACACUCAGGAAAACCAGGGUUCCUGGUUGUGCAAAUGUGAGCACACUUGACAUCUACCUUGCCCUUAUCUGGCAGCCCGGAUGGAUGACUGCUGACCCUGAAGUUGCCUUUCUUAAAGCUGAAACAAGUGCUGGUGAUGACGUGGAAAAAUUGGAAUGCUCGUGCCUUGCUGGUGGGAAUGUAAAAUGGUACAGCUGCUGUGGAGAACAUUCUGGCAGUUCCUCAAGAACUUAGACAUGGACUUGCCAUAUGGCCCAGCAAUUCUCCUCCUACGUUAUUUGUGCCAAAGCACAGAAAGCAAGGAUGCAAAUAUACUUGUCCAUCAAUCUUUAGAACAACGUUAUCGAUCGUAGCUGAAAGAUGGAAACGGAUAAGUAGAACUUGGCCUACCUGCACCUUGGAGUCCUACUCAGCCUGAAGAUCGGGAAGGAGGUUGUGAUGUAUGUCACCACAUGGACGAAACUUGAGGACAUCGUCCUAAAAGAAGUAAGCCAGUCAAGAGAGGACGAAUAUGGCAUGACUCUAGUAACGAUGCUAAUUGCAUGAUACUAACAGGAGGUGCCUUCCACAGGCAAAUUCAUAGAGACUGAAAAUAGAAUGGAGGUUAUCAGGGAUCAGAGGGAUAGAGAAUAGGGAGUUAUUUAAUGAACGGAAUUUCUGUUUGGGAUGAUAAAAAGCUCUAGAAAUGGUGAGUGAUGCUGGUUGUACAAUGUGUCACUGUUUUAAUGCCACCGAAAUCGUACACAUAAAUGGCUACAGUGACCAGUUGAUGUGUAUUUUACUGCAAUAAAAAUAUGUGACUGUUUUCCUUUUGUUAACAAAUUAGAACAUUAUAGACCAUGUCAAAGGCCCCUUUGACCACUUCCUCCAUCCUGAUUCCAAUUCCCCCUCCUGGGUGCUUCCAUGUUAAUUCCUCUAGAGUGUCUGCGUAUAUUUACCUGUAUCCAUAUGUACUUAUCAAAAUGACAUUUAAAAUUUUUUUAAAGAUUUUAUUUAUUUAUUUUUAGAGAGAGGAGAAGGGAGGGAGAAAAAGAGGGAGAGAAACAUCUGUGUGUGAUUGCCUCUUGUGCGCCUCCUAUUGGGGGGGCCUGGCCCACAACCCAGGCACCUGCCUGACUGGGAAUCAAUCCUGCAACCCUCUGGCUCGCAGGCGGGCCUGCGAGUGGUUCACUAACUCAAUCCACUGAGCCAGGGCAAAAUGACAUAUUUUUUGUUUUAUCCAAAGAGUAAGUCUGUUUUAGUAUAGAGAUUUGAAACCACCAUUCACAGUAAAAAUGUUCUAGGUAAUAGGCUUCUGGCCUUAUUAAUGGGGAUUUUUCUGGGUGAGUAUACAUCUUUAAAAUGUUUCUUUUUUUCAUUUCAUUUUCUCUUUCUCAUUAUAUGGCAGGGUUGGUGCCUGCAGAUCUGCUAUUGUUUAUGCUAACGCUAGCCAGCUCAGGUUUCUCCCUGCACUAGGGAACACUCUGUCCCCCACCCCUGCUAGAUUCCAGGCGUCAGCCCCCAGUUUCAGGUCACUUUUCUGGACUGCUUUAGUAGGGAGCCUCUCAGUGUACAUAAUUUUACUUAAAUCAUUUUCUUAUCCUUUCCCCUUCUCCCUCCCAGCUUCUAGUUUGCUGAGAUAUCAAGUAGAUGUCAAAGACUUUGUAAAGAUUUUGCUUUAUCCUUGACAUUCAAUGAUGCAUGCUCGUUGUGAGAAAAUGAAGUGUUUCAGAAUGGUUACAAUGCAGAAUGUGUAACCACAUCACACUUGGAUAACAUAUUUCCAGACAUUUCUGAAUGAUCAAUACUCAUGGGUACAAAUGUGUAUAUAAUUAUAUGUAAGUGGGAUCAUACGAUACACAUUGUACGACGAUUAGCUUCCUUAAAUUAAGAAAUAUGACUUUAUAGUUUUCUGUCAGUGAAUAAAGAUUUAUGUGAUCUA